Molecule: ribosomal RNA, 1343 nt
Filed under: uncultured bacterium
Lineage: Bacteria
Description: 16S ribosomal RNA
Rfam family: Bacterial small subunit ribosomal RNA
Source: RNAcentral
GACGAACGUUGGCGGCGUGCUUAACACAUGCAAGUCGAACGGAAAGGCCCUGCUUUUGUGGGGUGCUCGAGUGGCGAACGGGUGAGUAACACGUGAGUAACCUGCCCUUGACUUUGGGAUAACUUCAGGAAACUGGGGCUAAUACCGGAUAGGAGCUCCUGCUGCAUGGUGGGGGUUGGAAAGUUUCGGCGGUUGGGGAUGGACUCGCGGCUUAUCAGCUUGUUGGUGGGGUAGUGGCUUACCAAGGCUUUGACGGGUAGCCGGCCUGAGAGGGUGACCGGCCACAUUGGGACUGAGAUACGGCCCAGACUCCUACGGGAGGCAGCAGUGGGGAAUAUUGCACAAUGGGCGGAAGCCUGAUGCAGCAACGCCGCGUGCGGGAUGACGGCCUUCGGGUUGUAAACCGCUUUCGCCUGUGACGAAGCGUGAGUGACGGUAAUGGGUACAGAAGCACCGGCUAACUACGUGCCAGCAGCCGCGGUGAUACGUAGGGUGCGAGCGUUGUCCGGAUUUAUUGGGCGUAAAGGGCUCGUAGGUGGUUGAUCGCGUCGGAAGUGUAAUCUUGGGGCUUAACCCUGAGCGUGCUUUCGAUACGGGUUGACUUGAGGAAGGUAGGGGAGAAUGGAAUUCCUGGUGGAGCGGUGGAAUGCGCAGAUAUCAGGAGGAACACCAGUGGCGAAGGCGGUUCUCUGGGCCUUUCCUGACGCUGAGGAGCGAAAGCGUGGGGAGCGAACAGGCUUAGAUACCCUGGUAGUCCACGCUGUAAACGGUGGGUACUAGGUGUGGGGUCCAUUCCACGGGUUCCGUGCCGUAGCUAACGCUUUAAGUACCCCGCCUGGGGAGUACGGCCGCAAGGCUAAAACUCAAAGGAAUUGACGGGGCCCCGCACAAGCGGCGGAGCAUGCGGAUUAAUUCGAUGCAACGCGUAGAACCUUACCUGGGUUUGACAUGGAUCGGGAGUGCUCAGAGAUGGGUGUGCCUCUUUUGGGGUCGGUUCACAGGUGGUGCAUGGCUGUCGUCAGCUCGUGUCGUGAGAUGUUGGGUUAAGUCCCGCAACGAGCGCAACCCUUGUUCACUGUUGCCAGCACGUUAUGGUGGGGACUCAGUGGAGACCGCCGGGGUCAACUCGGAGGAAGGUGGGGAUGACGUCAAGUCAUCAUGCCCCUUAUGUCCAGGGCUUCGCGCAUGCUACAAUGGCUGGUACAGAGAGUGGCGAGCCUGUGAGGGUGAGCGAAUCUCGGAAAGCCGGUCUCAGUUCGGAUUGGGGUCUGCAACUCGACCUCAUGAAGUCGGAGUCGCUAGUAAUCGCAGAUCAGCAACGCUGCGGUGAAUACGUUCCCGGG